Molecule: long non-coding RNA, 1211 nt
Filed under: Homo sapiens (human)
Lineage: Eukaryota; Metazoa; Chordata; Mammalia; Primates; Hominidae
Description: HSALNT0213633
Source: RNAcentral
CUCCUGUCCAGCCUACUGCGGUUGCACCUCCCUGUGCACUUUGUCAGCAUCGCGAUAACCCAGAAGAGAACACGUGUAGAUGGCCUCUAUGAAGCUCUUUUGCUUGUUAGCAGCUGGUCAAAGUUAGCAGAAAUGGAAGGAAGUGAACUCAACCAACAAAAGAGAACUGAGCAAUUCAUCCCGGGUGUGAUGUUGUCUUCUCCCAAGGACCUUCUCCAACCACACUACUCGAAGUGUGUCCAGAAUUGGUGGGCUCUUGGUCUCGCUGACUUCAAGAAUGAAGCCGUGGACCCUCGCGAUUAAACAAGUGCAACUUUCCCAAUCUCACACAACUACUUGUGGAGCCAGGAUUCCAUACAGGCAAUGUGAGUGCACAUCCAAAACUUGAAACCACUGAACAAUAAUGCUUUCUGAAAGAUAAGGAAUUUAUUCAUGAUCAUUGGUGCUAUCUGGCUUGCUCGUCCUCCUCAACUUCCAGUACUGUUGAAUCGUUGUGUAUAAUUUGACCAACAUUAAAUCUUUCAUUUUUGACACGGAGUCUCGCUCUGUCGCCCAGGCUGGAGUGCAGUGGCAUGAUCUCAGCUCACUGCAAGCUCCGCCUCCCAGGUUCAUGCCAUUCUCCUGCCUCAGUCUCCCAGGUAGCUGGGACUACAGGCACCCCCCAACCAUGCCCGGCUAAUUUUUUGUAUUUUUAGUGGAGACGGGGUUUCACCGUGUUAGCCAGGAUGGUCUUGAUCUCCUGACCUUGUGAUCCGCCCGCCUUGGCCUCCCAAAGUGCUGGGAUUACAGGCACAACAUUAAAUCUUUUUAAAUGAUACGUGUCUCUUUGGUUAGUUUUCACACAGUUAUAGGUCAUAAACCAUUUUUACCUUACCUUUCUCACUUAACAUGUACUAUAAGCAUUUUCUAUAAUAUUUUACUUCUAUCUCUUUAGCAACUGAGCCCUAAAGCCCGUCCAUGUGUCUAGACUGGUCUGUUGCUCCUUCACUUUUUAAAAGAUAGAAAAAUAUAGUUACUACUAGUUGAAACUGCAUCCUGAAUUUGACUUUCCAAAAGUUGACGCAUUCCAUCAUGAAGUGGCCUGGUCUUUCCCCAGCAGCAGCAAUCCAACAAACUAGCAGCUGACUAUGCCCAAGUAGAAAACCCCAUACUCUAGAAGGGGCUACAUCACAUCCCCCUGGCAAGUUGCUCUCUUCACCCAGUGAAUUUAC